UGGAAAUGUGCUUUUUGUGGAAAAUGGUAGCUGUACGUGGUGAUAAAAAGGGCCUUUUUUGGAAAUAUGGUGACUUCGUGGUGAGUUGAGAAGUUUUUGUGGUGGGGGGUUUUGGUGGGACGUUGGUAAUUGUGCGUGGUGAUACGGAUGUGGUUUUGUGCAAAUGUUUGGGGAAACGUGGUCGCGUUGGGAGAAUUCUGGUGGCUUGGGAAUGUUUUUCUGGAAAUAUGUGGAAAUGUGAUUUUUGUUGAGGGAACCUGGUAAUUGUACAUGAUGAUAUAGCCGUUUCCUUGGAAAUAUGAUGGUUCUGUGUGGAAAACUGGUUAGUUUGUGGAAACACGUAUAGCGAUAUGGUGACUUUGUGUGGGAAAUGGUGUGGUAGUUUUAGGGUGAUGGGGUUUUUUUGUUGUGGGACCUGUGGAAAAUUGUGUGGCAAUUGGGUAAGCGCGAGGAAACACGGUUGUGUUGCGAGAGGGAUUUGGAAACCCGUGUUGUAGGAACGCGUGGAUAAGCGGUGAUGUCUGUGCUGAUUUGGGAACUCUUGGUGGGAACGUGCCGGUCGGCCCGUGGCGGCCGUCUGACCCACCGCGGCGCGGUGACCGGUGCGCGCGCGCGCGCGCGUGCUUCAAUCUGCCGGGAUUAGGAGGCAGCGCGCCCCGUGCCACGCCCCCGCGCUCCAAUCUGGGCUUUGCGGCCAAGAGGCUCCGGCCGCGCACCUGCACCGCGGCGGCAGGGAGAGAAGAACAAAAGGGCUCGCUCGCCCGGGGCGGGACUGGAGCAGUGCCCGCGGCCGGGCCGGGCCGGGCCAGGCGCACACACGAUCCCCGGCACAUCGAUCCCUGGAUCAGAGCCCCGUGUUCUCAUUGGCCGCUCGAGGCGCGCAGCGAUUGGCUGCGAGCGUUGUGUGGGCGAGGCCUGGGCUCUCCGCACUGCUUCUCUCUGAUUGGCCUCUGCCGGAGGAAGUGGGGCGAGGAGCACGCUCUCCUUGUUCUCGUUCUGAUUGGCUGCGGAGGAACGUUGUGGGGGGAGGGACUGCACUGUUCUGUGCGCCGAUUGGUCCAACCGCGAUCCUCAGCGGCCCCGGUCAGCUGUUUGUCUGUGCCGUGCCGUGCCGUGCCGUGCCCGCUGCGCCCGGAGCCCGCGUCCCGCUGCUGCCCCGGCGGUCCCGGAGCGCUGCGGCAGGCUGUUGUGGCCGCCACGCCGGGUCGUGCCGGAGCCUGCGUUCCCACGGCGCGGGGCCGGUCAGGAUCUCUUCGGAGGGUGGCGCUCGCAACACAAGCAGUGCCGGGUUCCUGGUUUGUCGAGAUGAGAACAGAAAACCCGCUGUUGUUCAGUAAACACUGCGAGAAACCCAUCACACUGUCGGGGCGAGCCUGGGCUGUGCUGUGCGACAGUACGGGAGUGUCACCGGCGCGCUGGAGCGGCCCUGCCCGCCCCCGCGCGCCUGGAGCCGCCUGUGGGCGGGGAUCCCUUCUGACCCGUGUCGUUGCUAGCAAGGUUUGCGUGGAAAUUCCCUUUUUUAAUGGUAAAAAGAAAUGGGGAAAAAAUAAAACAACCCUAUUGUUCAGUAAGAACUGCAGAUCUAUUCUAGCGGAGAGAAGGAGAUCCUUGCUGUAAGAUAAGUAACACUUUGAGAGCAGCGGGUUGAAGUGACGGUAUUAUUCGUUGUCUAGUCACAUACAUUUGCAGUUACAAGUAACAGGGCUGUGUGUGUGUAGAUGUGUAUGUAGUGUGUGUAAAGCCUACAUGCCAUGAUGAACACAGGAAUCCCACUACUCUGUCUCUCUAAAAGGGAAUGGUGGUAGAAGCAUAUCAUUAUGCGUACCUAUUGCUAUAUAUUAAUAUGUGUAUUUCAAACGUAUAUAAAAGGUAUGUCGCACACCCGUAUCGGAGGGGGAAACACAACCAGAAGACGCCCGGCGGCGAAGAGGAGAGCGCGCUCCGCGCUGCCCCGCGGUGGCUCAGGCCGGGCACUGCAGCGGGGAGAGCGGUCUCUUAGCUGCUUUUAGGCCUGGUGCCUUGUUUAAUUGUGUUUGAUAUUUUCCUUUAGUUGCUGCCCAAGUUAGUUGUCACAACUGCAAAGAUCCAUGCUGUGGUUACUCAGAACAAGGCUUCGGGCCUUCUGCUUACCAGCACUUGUGCAGCUUAGCCUUGAAAAUGGCCAAGGCUGGCAACAGGGUCAUCUUAUCACCGUCAGUGUUGGGGUUAACAGUGUGAGUGUUUUACCUCGCAUGAAACUGUCUGAUGUGCGUCUGCCCUUUCUCACAGGCUAGUCCUUGUGCACCUGUCCUUGGAAACCAGCUUAUUGGUGGGGAGGUGAAGCGUGACAUUUGGCACAGAAAGACCUGGGGUAGAAUGGCCCCCGACAGCUGUCAAGUCUGCAGUGUGUCACUGUGCGGGCUGCUCCGAAACAGGUAUUUGGGGCCUGCACCAGUCUCUUGGAAACAUCCAUGUUAACCCUGGCAGCAGGUGAGUGCGUGUUCCUGCCUUGGACAAGCUCAGGGAACACAAUGUGUCAGCAGUUGCCUUCACUUCUGACUGGAUGCCUGUCAUUCACUUGCACAUGUCCAGUGGUACCACCUCCAGCGACAGCAGCUCUUGCCUCCGAACUACUAGGGCAUCUUGCAACAGCAACGGCCUGCCCCGGGCUAGGCUGAUGCCAGUGGCCCAGACCCAGAGACUGCCUGUUGUACAUCCUUGUGCCUGGAUUAGGUGUUGAGCACUUGCAUCUCUGCUAGCUUCAGCACGUAUUAGCCUCUCAACAUCCUGUGGCACCCACCGCAGGGCCUGUGACCCUAAUGUCUCUGUCAGCCUCUGUCUCACCCUUCCCUUGAAGGUCUCCCAUAAAACUCCUUGUCCCAUCCCAGUCUGCAGCAGGGCGCCACCAGCAUUUCCCAGGUGCUGUUGAGAGAGUUGAGAGGAGCGUGGGGAAGAGCCUUCCUUGCCCCCACGCUCUUUACUUCUCUCAGGUUGAAUCUGUUUGUCAGUCCCAGUGCCUCUUUUCUGUCCUCUUCUGCCUCUGGUGUCCCUGGGUAGCCACUCUGUCUCCUGUAUAUGCUGGGAGGUGGUUUAAGGGUGUCAUGACCCAAUGAUUGUGUGUGCGCUUCGGCACUGCAGAAUUAUUUCCCGUCACAUGGAGCUUUCUUUGCACGGUGCAAUUCUCAGCUGCAGAGAGAAAAUCCCGGUGCAAAGGAGUUCCCGCCACCCGUAUGUAAGUUUGUUUCCCACUAUUGGCUGUUUCUAAAUUAUUCCCAUGUGGCGGCUAGCGAUUGGCUUGCUAGCCGUAUAAGAGGUUUGAGCAGUUUCCAUCCAAGGCGGAGAUCUCCGAGAAUCUCGGGAGGACCCCGAGAUCCCCAAUUCCGAGGAUUCCAGGAGAAAUCCGAGAGAAUUCCGGAGAAAAUUCCAUGAUUACCUCAUGGACUUCUACGUAAAUCUCGGACCGAAUGGUGGUUUGAUCUGCUACCAAGAAUCUCUCCCCGUCAUCGAGCACUAUCCCGACGUAUCCCUACCCUGCGUACUCGUCAAGAGUCAUAUUUUGGACUCUCAGUUUGGUAUCCAGAGCUCUUGUAGUCAAAAAUAGGUUAGACCCCAAGAUUUUGUAAUAAUGCUUAAGCAGCAACUAUAUAAAAGAAAUGUCUUAUGAUCUCUUGAGUAAGAUCAUGAGGCCACCGACUGAGUUAUGGUCUGCUUUACUUUUUGCUUGCCUGGCAUAAUGAAAUCAUCUGUGUCUGGUGUUCUAAAAUUACACUCAGACACGGGAGUUACUAAAAGAUUACUAAACCUUGCCGUAGUUCCUCUUUUCCUCUGCGCACGCGACAGAAGAUUUUUGCCGUAGUUCUGCUUUUUGAAUGCGCAUGCACCAACCCUGAUAAGUCACACUAACCAAUAACAAGUUAAGUUUAGCCUACAAAAAUAAGACGUAACAACUAGGAAAUUAUAAUGCUACCAAUGAGUGCCUAAUACGUCAAGACUAUGUUUAUGUAAGCUAUAAAUAUGUAAUUCUGGGCCGGACGGGUGUUCGGCUCUGCUUUGGCAUUAGCCUCUUAGCUGAACCUGUUUACGUAAACAAUAAACGUGAGAUGGACCUAGCCUGUGUGUAAGUGUGACUCACUCCUUGAGGAUAUUUGGACAAGCCUCCAGGGGAACGAAACUAGCCAUUUGGGCAACACUCUGUCCGGUUUGUUAACAAGAGACUCGAGUUUCCUACGGCUCUUGUUCGUGUUUGUUUUGCGGAGCCUAGCAAACUCCGUGUGUGUGCAUCUUCGGUGGAGCCUAGCAAACUCCACGUGUGUCUGUCUGUAACUGCAACGCAAGCAAGCUUUCCUGCCUGCACCGUGACCAUCUACCGUGUUUGCUGCAUCCUUCCAGAGCCUCCCGCUCGACGCACCAAUCCACAACUUCAAACCGGGUGACCAAGUCCUGGUACAGAAGUGGAAGAAAGAUCCUCUUGUGGAGAAGUGGGAAGGACCCUACCAGGUGCUGCUGACUACACACACAGCUGUCCGUCUAUCAAACAACGAUAAGUGGACCCACUGUUCGAGGGUAAAGCCCUAUCAUCCGGAGGACACCAACUCCCAGGGUGUGGUCACUCCGGAAGCUGAUAACACCCGGGAACAAGAAGCCAACCAGUGGACAAGUACACCAAUAGGAGAUCUGAAGCUGCGCUUGCAACGAUGUGGACUUUAAUCUAUUUGCUGGGACUCUUAUCCCUUUUCGGGGUAUCAGCUCCAGAUUGUUGUAAAUGUACUUUAGACAUGCGUGAAAACCUCACAAUGACCGUUUAUGAAAAGGUUAAGUAUGCAAUGUCUGAGGCCUAUCUAUUUCCCAUUUCUGCAUGCUGUUCACGCCAAGAAAUUAUAGUGGGGUUUGUAUUCAAGGGCGCCAAAGGUAAAUUGGUAAGGUGUGUAGAGCCGAAACCAGAACUCUGGUCAGCUAUACUUAAGGCUUGGCCUUCCAGCCUUAACCAAAUGUAGUUGGAAGGGAGCCCACCUAUCUAACUAACCGUAUUAUCAGACUCCAGGCCGUAGUAGAGAUAGUCACUAACAAGACUGCUGCAGCCCUACGUCUAAUUGGAAAUCAGCUUACCCAGCUACGCACUACGGUACUACAGAAUCGCUUAGCUCUUGACUACUUACUUGCUAGUGAAGGAGGGGUAUGUAAGAAGUUAAAUCUGUCCAAUUGUUGUGUUGAGAUUGAUGAUAAUGGUGAAUUGAUAAAAACCCUAGCAGAUGAUAUGGAAAAGAUAGCACAUGUUCCAGUCCAGACAUGGAAUGGGUGGAACUCUGAUUGGUUUACAUCCUGGCUUCCUCAGCCUGGAUGGUUAAAGGGUGUGUUGAUGGCCUUAUGCUUGUUAGUGUCAGCCCUUUGCUUGCUUCCUUGUAUGCUACCGUGCAUCAUGACCCUUCUGAGACGGACUGUUCGCUCAGUUGUUAACCGUGAAAUGCUUGUGCAUUAUCAGAAAUUGGCUAUUGCUGACACUUAUUAAAAUUUUUAGAGUAAGAAAGCAUCUGGGGGGGAAGGUGUAGUCAAAAAUAGGUUAGACCCCAAGAUUUUGUAAUAAUGCUUAAGCAGCAACUAUAUAAAAGAAAUGUCUGAUGACCAUCUUAUGAUCUCUUGAGUAAGAUCAUGAGGCCACCGACUGAGUUAUGGUCUGCUUUACUUUUUGCUUGCCUGGCAUAAUGAAAGCAUCUGUGUCUGGUGUUCUAAAAUUACACUCAGACACGGGAGUUACUAAAAGAUUACUAAACCUUGCCGUAGUUCCUCUUUUCCUCUGCGCACGCGACAGAAGAUUUUUGCCGUAGUUCUGCUUUUUGAAUGCGCAUGCACCAACCCUGAUAAGUCACACUAACCAAUAACAAGUUAAGUUUAGCCUACAAAAUAAGACGUAACAACUAGGAAAUUAUAAUGCUACCAAUGAGUGCCUAAUACGUCAAGACUAUGUUUAUGUAAGCUAUAAAUAUGUAAUUCUGGGCCGGACGGGUGUUCGGCUCUGCUUUGGCAUUAGCCUCUUAGCUGAACCUGUUUACGUAAACAAUAAACAUGUGAUGGACCUAGCCUGUGUGUAAGUGUGACUCACUCCUUGAGGAUAAUUGGACAAGCCUCCAGGGGAACGAAACUAGCCAUUUGGGCAACACUCUGUCCGGUUUGUUAACAAGAGACUCGAGUUUCCUACGGCUCUUGUUCGUGUUUGUUUUGCGGAGCCUAGCAAACUCCGUGUGUGUGCAUCUUCGGUGGAGCCUAGCAAACUCCACGUGUGUCUGUCUGUAACUGCAACGCAAGCAAGCUUUCCUGCCUGCACCGUGACCAUCUACCGUGUAAGUAAAGUUUUCUUUGUUUAA
Alligator mississippiensis (American alligator) is the source of this 6338-nucleotide long non-coding RNA. RefSeq lists it as uncharacterized. The record is from RefSeq and is a predicted model, not a curated record. The transcript has 2 exons. Lineage: Eukaryota; Metazoa; Chordata; Crocodylia; Alligatoridae.